RNAcentral lists this transfer RNA (76 nucleotides) under Rhodospirillum rubrum. Its description in RNAcentral is "tRNA-Ala". It matches the Rfam family "tRNA". Rfam says of the family: Transfer RNA (tRNA) molecules are approximately 80 nucleotides in length. Their secondary structure includes four short double-helical elements and three loops (D, anti-codon, and T loops). Lineage: Bacteria; Pseudomonadati; Pseudomonadota; Alphaproteobacteria; Rhodospirillales; Rhodospirillaceae. RNAcentral also lists the same sequence under 2 other names. The record is from RNAcentral.
GGGGCUGUAGCUCAGUUGGGAGAGCGCUUGAAUGGCAUUCAAGAGGUCAGGGGUUCGAUUCCCCUCUGCUCCACCA